CGGGCGGCUGCACCAGUCAAGAAUCUUCCUCAAUGGACGAAAGUCUGAAGGAGCAAUGCCGCGUGAUCGAUGACGCCUUUCGGGGUGUAAAGAUCUUUUAUUAGGGACGAAUCCGUGACGGUACCUAAUGAAUAAGUCACUGCUAACUACGUGCCAGCAGCAGCGGUAAUACGUAGGUGGCGAGCGUUACCCGGAUUGACUGGGCGUAAAGCGUCCGCAGACGGUCUAAAAAGUCUUUAGUUAAAUCCUGAGGCUCAACCUCAGGACCGCUACAGAUACUGUUAGACUAGAGGCUGGGAGAGGCAAGCGGAAUUACUGGUGUAGUAGUAAAAUGCGUUAAUAUCAGUAAGAACACCAAAAGCGAAGGCAGCUUGCUAGAACAGUCCUGACGUUCAGGGACGAAAGCGUGGGGAGCGAAUGGGAUUAGAUACCCGUGUAGUC
RNAcentral lists this ribosomal RNA (441 nucleotides) under uncultured bacterium. RNAcentral's name for it is "partial 16S ribosomal RNA". It matches the Rfam family "Bacterial small subunit ribosomal RNA", at positions 342 to 795 of the family's 1533-position model. The record is from RNAcentral.